ACGAAUCUUAAAGUCGGCCUUGCUGUUGCUGGUGGAGAGAUCCACAUGUGCACGCUUGGUCGCAAAUCCACACACCUGUGCAUCUAUGACUCGAGGUUGUCGUCGUAUGACCGAGAGUAACUUUUACACACUCUUGAAUGUAACAGAAUGUCUCUUGUGCGUAAUGUACAAUUAAA
RNAcentral lists this unclassified non-coding RNA (176 nucleotides) under uncultured Serendipita. Its description in RNAcentral is "sequence contains ITS1". The record is from RNAcentral. Lineage: Eukaryota; Fungi; Basidiomycota; Agaricomycetes; Sebacinales.